This 327-nucleotide long non-coding RNA is filed under the name Oryza sativa tropical japonica subgroup. RNAcentral describes it as "lncRNA OsCMeo_06g0016670". The record is from RNAcentral. Lineage: Eukaryota; Viridiplantae; Streptophyta; Magnoliopsida; Poales; Poaceae.
AAUAGGAGGAGUGGUGAUGGCUUGUCAGUGGCUCGGCUGAAGGUCGUCUUCAACGUUCGUCUUCUUCCUCCCGACCGAGCGGGAGCAGCAGGGGAACACGGCGCGCACGGAAGGUCGGCCGAGGGCGACCCGGCGGCGGCUAGGGGAGGCGCGGAGAAGCUCCGGCGACCACCCACCGGCUGCGGCGGCGCUUGGAGGGACGGGGCGCAUGGCCGCCAUGGCUGCACCAUAGCCGAGCUCGGCUGCAAGUGGCUAGGACGACAGGAAGGGAAGGGGAGCCCCCGGGAUGGCCGGUCCACGGCGAGCUCGCCGGCGGCGAAACAGUAG